GACGAACGCUGGCGGCGUGCUUAACACAUGCAAGUCGAACGGAAAGGCCCUGCUUUUGUGGGGUGCUCGAGUGGCGAACGGGUGAGUAACACGUGAGUAACCUGCCCUUGACUUUGGGAUAACUUCAGGAAACUGGGGCUAAUACCGGAUAGGAGCUCCUGCUGCAUGGUGGGGGUUGGAAAGUUUCGGCGGUUGGGGAUGGACUCGCGGCUUAUCAGCUUGUUGGUGGGGUAGUGGCUUACCAAGGCUUGGCCGGGUAGCCGGCCUGAGAGGAUGACCGGCCACAUUGGGACUGGAAUACGGCCCAGACUCCUACGGGAGGCAGCAGUGGGGAAUAUUGCACAAUGGGCGGAAGCCUGAUGCAGCAACGCCGCGUGCGGGAUGACGGCCUUCGGGUUGUAAACCGCUUUCGCCUGUGACGAAGCGUGAGUGACGGUAAUGGGUAAAGAAGCACCGGCUAACUACGUG
RNAcentral lists this ribosomal RNA (468 nucleotides) under uncultured bacterium. RNAcentral describes it as "partial 16S ribosomal RNA". It matches the Rfam family "Bacterial small subunit ribosomal RNA", at positions 28 to 507 of the family's 1533-position model. The record is from RNAcentral.